This 328-nucleotide long non-coding RNA is filed under the name Elaeis guineensis (African oil palm). Its description in RNAcentral is "long non-coding RNA (EGUI_LNC027624)". Lineage: Eukaryota; Viridiplantae; Streptophyta; Magnoliopsida; Arecales; Arecaceae. The record is from RNAcentral.
ACUAUAUCCAUGUCGGUCCUCAUCAUGAUUUUCUUUAACCUCAUGCUUUAAUAAAAGCUAGAGAAAUCCCAUGACUUCAAAAGAAGCUGUAUGUCUCCUAACAAAAUGUCGAGAUCUCAUGAUAGUAAAAUGAGACAUAUCCAUACAACUAUUAUUUUCAAGACAAACAUUUAUUCUUAAGACACCAUGUUGUAUUUUGUUUUAUAUGCAUAUAUAAAUCAUAUAAGAACAAAAUCCAUCAAUUAAUAAAACAGUCAAUCAUAAAUAAAAUUUAUCUAUCAAGUCAAUACGUAAACUUGAAAAACAUUAAACUCCCACUAAUCCAAAA